UUUUAUUAUUAAGAUUUUAGCUCUUAAUAGGUCUUAAUCAUUAAGAUCUAGAAUCAAGUCUUAAUAGGUCUGAGAAGGUAUUCUAGUGUUGGAUAAUAUUCACCGCCACUCUAUUCAUAAUCAUCAAUUACCACCACUAACCACCUCUUCCACCACCACCAUUGUCAACCACCGCCCACCACUACCAACCAUCUCUACCAUC
Molecule: long non-coding RNA, 202 nt
Filed under: Capsicum annuum
Lineage: Eukaryota; Viridiplantae; Streptophyta; Magnoliopsida; Solanales; Solanaceae
Description: long non-coding RNA (CANN_LNC015150)
Source: RNAcentral